UAGCAGGCAAGAGAGAGCACGUGCAGGGGA
This 30-nucleotide non-coding RNA is filed under the name Homo sapiens (human). Lineage: Eukaryota; Metazoa; Chordata; Mammalia; Primates; Hominidae. The record is from RNAcentral.